Molecule: small nuclear RNA, 325 nt
Filed under: Prolemur simus (greater bamboo lemur)
Lineage: Eukaryota; Metazoa; Chordata; Mammalia; Primates; Lemuridae
Description: 7SK RNA (ENSPSMG00000017590.1)
Rfam family: 7SK RNA
About the family: 7SK was discovered as an abundant small nuclear RNA in the mid-70s but a possible function has only recently been suggested. Two independent studies have found that 7SK RNA binds the CDK9/cyclin T complex (known as elongation factor P-TEFb). P-TEFb activates transcription by phosphorylating the C-terminal domain of RNA polymerase II.
Source: RNAcentral
GGAUGUGAGGGAGAUCUGGCUGUGACAUCUGUCACCCCAUUGAUCGCCAGGGUUGAUUUGGCUGAUCUGGCUGGCUAGGUGGGUGUCCCCUUCCUCCCUCACCACUCCAUUUGCGUCCCUCCCAAAGCUGCAUGCUCAGUCAAAGAGGAGGACCUUUCCCGAUAGAGGAGGACCAUUCUUUGGUCAAGGGUAUACGAGUAGCUGUGCUCCCCUGCUAGAACCUACAAACUCCAGAACGAAAAACAAAGACCAUUAAUCAUCUCAACAGAUGCAGAAAAAGCAUUCAAUAAAAUCCAGCAACCUUCAUGAUCAAACCCCUCAAUGA